UAAGAGUUGCAAACUCCCAACCAUUGUGAACUUACCUUCAACGUUGCUUCGGCGGGUUGGCCCCGGUCUCCGGGGUCCCCGGCCCUACUCGGGCGCCCGCCGGAGGUAUCUAACUCUUGAACUUUUAUGGCCUCUCUGAGUCUUUGUACUUAAUAAGUCAAAACUUUCAACAACGGAUCUCUUGGUUCUGGCAUCGAUGAAGAACGCAGCGAAAUGCGAUAAGUAAUGUGAAUUGCAGAAUUCAGUGAAUCAUCGAAUCUUUGAACGCACAUUGCGCCCGCCAGUAUUCUGGCGGGCAUGCCUGUUCGAGCGUCAUUUCAACCAUCAAGCCCCCGGCUUGUGUUGGGGACCUGCGGCUGCCGCAGGCCCUGAAAACCAGUGGCGGGCUCGCUAGUCACUCCGAGCGUAGUAAUACAUCUCGCUCAGGGCGUGCUGCGGGUUCCGGCCGUUAAAAAGCCUUAUUUACCCAAGGUUGACCUCGGAUCAGGUAGGAAGACCCGCUGAACUUAAGCAUAUCAAUA
This 521-nucleotide ribosomal RNA is filed under the name uncultured fungus. RNAcentral describes it as "eukaryotic LSU rRNA". The stretch from base 162 to 315 matches the Rfam family "5.8S ribosomal RNA". The record is from RNAcentral. Lineage: Eukaryota; Fungi.